UUAGGUUGUGGUCCCUGUCCGCCCCUGAUACCAGAUGAUUAGGUUGUGUUCCCAGUCCGCCCCGCAUACCAGAUCAUUAGGAUGUGGUCCCUGUCCGCCCCUGAUACCAGAUGAUUAGGUUGUGGUCCCGGUCCACCCCUGAUACCAGGUGAUUAGAUUGUGGUCCCUGUCCACCCCUGAUACCAGAUGAUUAGGUUGUGGUCCCUGUCCACCCCUGAUACCAGAUGAUUAGGUUGUGUUCCCAGUCCGCCCCUGUUACAAGAUGAUUAGGUUGUGGUCCCUGUCCACCCCUGAUACCAGAUGAUUAGGUUGUGUUCCCAGUCCGCCCCUGAUACCAGAUGAUUAGGUUGUGUUCCCAGUCCG
Oncorhynchus tshawytscha (Chinook salmon) is the source of this 363-nucleotide long non-coding RNA. Lineage: Eukaryota; Metazoa; Chordata; Actinopteri; Salmoniformes; Salmonidae. The record is from Ensembl.